Molecule: long non-coding RNA, 1050 nt
Organism: Sapajus apella (tufted capuchin)
Lineage: Eukaryota; Metazoa; Chordata; Mammalia; Primates; Cebidae
Exons: 2
Source: RefSeq, a predicted model, not a curated record
CUCACAGACAAACGAAAGAAGGCAUUUUUCUGCUUGACUGGAGUCUUUUGCAGGAGACAAAAAGUGUUUCUUCAAAUGUGAGGAGUGGGAUGUCCUAACCCUGCUCACCCUCGAGACCUAGGGCCCACCCAUGAAACUUCUCUCAAUAGAUCCACAACCCCCUAGGAAAUGACUGCUGCCUUCUUAGAACAACCAAACAUUCAACUGACUCAUUCUUCCCCCAUUCAUUUUCUUGGUAUCACCACAGUGUUUUGUUUACUAGGGAUGCCAUAACAAAUUACCAUAAACUGGGGGGAUUUAAAAUAACAGUUUAUUUUCUCACAGUUCUGGAGAAAUCUGGUGCUGGUGUGUUGGCAGAGCCCCACCUUUCUCUUAGCAGCUGGUGCUGCCAGCAAUCCUUGCUGUUCCUUGGCUUGUAGACAUGCCACUCCUCUGCCUCUGCUGUCACCUGGCAUUUCUUCUAUGUCUAUGGGUCUCUUAUGAGAACAUUAUUAAGCCAUUAUUGGAUUGGGACUCACUCUAAGCCAGAAUGACCUCAUCUUAACUUGAUUACAUCUGCAAAGACCCUAUUUCCAAAUAAGGCCACAUUCGUAGAUCCUACAGGUUAGGACGUCAACAUAUGUUUUUGGGGAACACAAUUCAACUAUGGUAAUUUUUUAUAUUACAUAUCACCCCUAAUCAGUAGUAAGCUCUUUGAAGGCAAGCACUAUAGCUCAUUCCUAUUUUCCCUUCCCUGUAUUAUUUAAUAAACAGAAAACCGAAGACAUAAAGUAGAAUGUAACUAAGCACCAGUUACCUUAACUAGUAGCUGAGCACAAAAUUAUGUGAUGCGGUCCAUUCAGUGUGGGAAAUUGGGAGGUCAGGGAGGCAGGUUUAUGAGGGCUGGAGUGCUUGGCAAAGGCUUUCUUGGGGAAGAAAGGCUGCUUAAUGAGUAGACAGGAUUUGGAGACAGAGAGAAAAGUGGCCGUAACUUUCCAAGUAGAGAAGCUGUAUGAACAAAAUAUUGUCUAUAAAAUUUUUUUUAAAAACGAUUAGAUAAAGUACAGUUUU